This 351-nucleotide ribosomal RNA is filed under the name Helictopleurus neoamplicollis. Its description in RNAcentral is "partial 16S ribosomal RNA". The record is from RNAcentral. Lineage: Eukaryota; Metazoa; Arthropoda; Insecta; Coleoptera; Scarabaeidae.
ACCUGCCCUAUGAUAAUUAUUAAAUGGCCGCGAUAUUUUGAUCGUGCAAAGGUAGCAUAAUCAUUAGUUUUUUAAUUAAGAACUGGAAUGAAAGGUUGAACGAGAAAAAAACUGUCUCAAUUUAAUUUAAUUAGAAUUUUAUUUUUAAGUAAAAAAGCUUAAAUAUUUUUAAAAGACGAGAAGACCCUAUAGAGUUUUAUAUUUAAUUAAGUUUUAAAAAAAUUUUAGUAUUUAAUUUUUUAUAAAUUAUUAAAUAUUUAGUUGGGGUGACUUAAAAAUUAAAUAAACUUUUUUUAUAGUUAAACAUUGAUAUAUGAGAAAUUGAUCCAUAAUUUAUGAUUAUAAGAUUAA